Molecule: non-coding RNA, 46 nt
Organism: Schistosoma curassoni
Lineage: Eukaryota; Metazoa; Platyhelminthes; Trematoda; Strigeidida; Schistosomatidae
Source: Rfam
UCACUGCUGAAGAGUCCGGUACUAGGACGAAACGGCCGUCCAGUGC